UACAGAGGUCUCGAGCGUUGUUCGGAUUCAUUGGGCGUAAAGGGUGCGUAGGUGGCGCUGUAAGUCGGGUGUGAAAUCCUGAGGCUUAACCUCGGAACUGCAUUCGAUACUGCGGUGCUUGAGGACUGGAGAGGAGACUGGAAUUCAUGGUGUAGCAGUGAAAUGCGUAGAGAUCAUGAGGAAGACCAGUGGCGAAGGCGGGUCUCUGGACAGUUCCUGACACUGAGGCACGAAGGCCAGAGGAGCAAACGGG
Molecule: ribosomal RNA, 253 nt
Filed under: uncultured bacterium
Lineage: Bacteria
Description: partial 16S ribosomal RNA
Rfam family: Bacterial small subunit ribosomal RNA
Source: RNAcentral